Molecule: ribosomal RNA, 473 nt
Filed under: uncultured bacterium
Lineage: Bacteria
Description: bacterial SSU rRNA
Rfam family: Bacterial small subunit ribosomal RNA
Source: RNAcentral
UGGGGAAUUGUUCGCAAUGGGCGCAAGCCUGACGACGCAACGCCGCGUGGAGGAUGAAGACCUUCGGGUCGUAAACUCCUUUCGAUCGAGACGAAUGGCCUCCGGGUGAACAAUCCGGAGGAGUGACGGUACCGAGAGAAGAAGCCCCGGCUAACUCUGUGCCAGCAGCCGCGGUAAUACAGAGGGUGCGAGCGUUGUCCGGAAUCACUGGGCGUAAAGGGCGCGUAGGCGGCCCGGUAAGUAGGGGGUGAAAUCUCAUGGCUCAACUGUGAGGCUGCCUUCUAGACUGCCAGGCUUGAGCACAGUAGAGGCGAGUGGAAUUCCCGGUGUAGCGGUGGAAUGCGUAGAGAUCGGGAAGAACAUCGGUGGCGAAGGCGGCUCGCUGGGCUGUUGCUGACGCUGAGGCGCGAAAGCGUGGGGAGCAAACAGGAUUAGAUACCCAAGUAGUCCCUGAGCGGGCUGGCAAGGCGCAU